This 254-nucleotide ribosomal RNA is filed under the name uncultured bacterium. RNAcentral describes it as "partial 16S ribosomal RNA". It matches the Rfam family "Bacterial small subunit ribosomal RNA", at positions 524 to 776 of the family's 1533-position model. The record is from RNAcentral.
UACGGAGGGUGCGAGCGUUGUCCGGAAUCACUGGGCGUAAAGGGCGCGUAGGUGGCCUGUGGAAGUCUGCGGUGAAAGCCCGGCGCUCAACGCCGGGUCGGCCGUGGAUACUCUCGGGCUCGAGCUUACUAGAGGCAGAUGGAAUUCCGGGUGUAGCGGUGGAAUGCGUAGAGAUCCGGAAGAACACCGGUGGCGAAGGCGGCCUGCUGGGGUAAUGCUGUCACUGAUGCGCGACAGCGUGGGGAGCAAACAGG